RNAcentral lists this ribosomal RNA (502 nucleotides) under uncultured Glomeromycotina. Its description in RNAcentral is "partial small subunit ribosomal RNA". It matches the Rfam family "Eukaryotic small subunit ribosomal RNA", at positions 591 to 1092 of the family's 1831-position model. Lineage: Eukaryota; Fungi; Glomeromycota. The record is from RNAcentral.
CCAAUAGCGUAUAUUAAAGUUGUUGCAGUUAAAAAGCUCGUAGUUGAACUUCGGGGUUUACCCAUUGGUCAGGCUUAAUUGUCUGCACUGGUGAGAUGAAUCUCUACCUUCUGAGGAACUUUCAUGCCAUUUAUUUGGUGUGAUGGGAAAUCAGGACUGUUACUUUGAAAAAAUUAGAGUGUUUAAAGCAGGCUAACGUCUGAAUACAUUAGCAUGGAAUAAUGAAAUAGGACGGACUGAUUCUAUUUCGUUGGUUUCUAGGAUCACCGUAAUGAUUAAUAGGGAUAGUUGGGGGCAUUAGUAUUCAAUUGUCAGAGGUGAAAUUCUUGGAUUUAUUGAAGACUAACUACUGCGAAAGCAUUUGCCAAGGAUGUUUUCAUUAAUCAAGAACGAAAGUUAGGGGAUCGAAGACGAUCAGAUACCGUCGUAGUCUUAACCAUAAACUAUGCCGACUAGGGAUCGGACGAAGUUAAUUUUAUAAUGACGCGUUCGGCGCCUUACG